CAAACACCCAACUGAGUGGAAAACGUGGUUACAAUUUCAAAAUCCAUUUAUCAUCUCUUUUCAACAACUAAGAUCCCUUGAAGCUGUCCUCAGACAACCAUCACCUCUGGAUGUUCUACCACCACCAGACCUGCAGUAAUUCAGCUGAGUGUUUUUACAGGAGUUCAUCGUUGGUGCUGUUGUGGGGAAAUGACAUAGGCCUCUCCCUCUCCAGCACACAACUAAGAUCUGCAGCUUCUAGUGAACCGUCUAAGAGGAAGACAAUUAACAAAGUCAGAUAUGGCAACUGCUGGAAACAGACGUAGCAAGGAUGUUGACCAUGAUAUGGGACUAAAGUCUUCCUCUGCUCUGAAAAGCCCAACUCCAAGCACGGAAACGAGUACUCAGUCAGACAUUCAUGAUACGGAUUCAAGUGAUGACAGUAUGGAUUCACCACCUUUUAUUGAUGUCUUCAUCAGAUGCUCGAAUCAACCUCAGGUCACUCCAUCAGAACAUCAGCUCAUACAUGAAUGCAUAAAUACAUAAAUGAUCUGAAAACAUUGGCAGAUGAAUUUACAAUGGCAGCUGAAAAGAUCGAAUCGGAGAAAAAUAAAAGAGGGUCUCCUUACAAGAGCAAGGAGGCUGUUGGAGCAUAUGUGGCUGGGGGAGUGUGCGCCACAGUGGGUUUACUUUUAGUCCCCUUGACAGGGUUUGCCUCUAUUGCCGGUGCAGGGGCAGGCAUCACGUUGACUAUUUUGACUGCUGUUAUUCUUUACUUUAGAAUAAUUAUUAAUGACGUCACAAACCAAGAGACCUUGGCGGAUUAGGAGAAAAAGUUUUUGGUCAAGAGUGGACCAAUUGUGGAUCGUCUGCAUCGUAUCGAUGCAGAUAUCAAAGAAUUUGUUACAAUGUCUUCCAUGUCCCGAGCUGGAGAUGAGCCACAUCAGCUUAAGAGAGCAUCUGAACUGAGUGCUAGAAUUCUUAGUGAAGCAGUAGACUUGAAAAGGGAGUUAUCUGUCUUCUCAGGUAUUGUUAGUGAUAUCUUUGGGGAUGUCAGAAAGAUCGGCAGUGGCCGUGAUAUUGGUUCAGAGUUCAUGACAAGUAUCAAGAAAUCAUCUGAAUUGUGUCAGGAGACUAUAAGCAAAUUUGAAAAGAUGAGAGAAGAACUUGAAAAAAAUGUCUGAUUUAAAUUAGGAACAAAAUACAAAUGAAUAAUUUGUUGAAAUGAACCAAUUAGUUGCAAUAAAUCAUUAUCAUUACCUGGCAUGAUCUUGGGUAUCAUCCAGAUCGGUGAGAACAACGAUAAUGAGAGAGUAGGGAUUCAGCUAGGCUCAGUCAGGAAACUAUAGAUGACUAGAACAACUACAUGAGAAAAACAAUGUUAGAAAUGGAAGAAAAUUCUGAAAUUGAGUUAGAUUUUGUUUACUCAGCUUAUCAGCCCUCCAUCAUGCAGUGUAUUAUGUUACCCUAAGGAUAGUGUAAAUAAUUCAGCAUAUUAAUGUUUUAAAAAAUCUAUUUUGUAAAAUGUACUGUAUGUGAUGUUAUAUGAGUGACACAUUUCAAGGUAACUUUUAAUUUGACAUUUUUAUUAAAUGUAUUGAAGUGUAUCAAAAUGUACAGUCAGCUUGAACUAACUUUUGUAAAAUAUACAUGACGCGUGAGUGACAAGUGAACUUUUAAAUUAAUUUAUUUUGACAAAAUAUAUGUACAGUUAACUUGAACUAAAGAAAAAUAAAAUAAAUUCAUAUUUGUUUAACAAA
Long non-coding RNA from Oncorhynchus tshawytscha (Chinook salmon), 1739 nucleotides. Lineage: Eukaryota; Metazoa; Chordata; Actinopteri; Salmoniformes; Salmonidae. The record is from Ensembl.